AAAGAUGAAAAGAACUUAGAAAAAAGAGUCAAAGAGUGCUUGAAAUUGUCGGGAAGGAAGCGGAUGGGGGUUAGCGAUGCAUCCCGAUCAGAUGUGGAACAAUGACGAGCCGGUCUGUCGAUCGACUUGGGGUGUGGACCAACACGAAUUGAGGAGGUGGCCAAAGCUCAAGCAGUCGACACACCCGUGAAAUGUCGUCGUGUCGAUUGUGGCGAACAACUCGCGCCUUGACAUGCCUCGGCACCUGCGCGCUCAUGGUACUGGUCUGCAGGCUCCUUAUUCAACCCGUCUUAAAACAUGG
This 301-nucleotide ribosomal RNA is filed under the name Olea europaea subsp. europaea. RNAcentral describes it as "Eukaryotic large subunit ribosomal RNA". It matches the Rfam family "Eukaryotic large subunit ribosomal RNA", at positions 360 to 664 of the family's 3401-position model. The record is from Rfam by way of RNAcentral. Lineage: Eukaryota; Viridiplantae; Streptophyta; Magnoliopsida; Lamiales; Oleaceae.